RNAcentral lists this ribosomal RNA (493 nucleotides) under uncultured bacterium. RNAcentral describes it as "bacterial SSU rRNA". It matches the Rfam family "Bacterial small subunit ribosomal RNA", at positions 28 to 520 of the family's 1533-position model. The record is from RNAcentral.
GACAAACGCUGGCGGCGUGCUUAACACAUGCAAGUCGAACGGAGUACCCUUGAAUGAAGCUUCGGCAGAUUUUAAGGAAUACUUAGUGGCGGACGGGUGAGUAACACGUGAGUAACCUGCCCUUGAGUGGGGAAUAACACACUGAAAGGUGUGCUAAUACCGCAUAACAUAGCGAAAUCGCAUGAUUUUGUAUCAAAGAUUUAUUGCUCAAGGAUGGGCUCGCGGCCGAUUAGGUAGUUGGUGAGGUAACGGCUCACCAAGCCGACGAUCGGUAGCCGGACUGAGAGGUUGAUCGGCCACAUUGGGACUGAGACACGGCCCAGACUCCUACGGGAGGCAGCAGUGGGGAAUAUUGCACAAUGGAGGAAACUCUGAUGCAGCGACGCCGCGUGAGGGAAGAAGGUAUUCGUAUUGUAAACCUCUGUCUUCGGGGACGAUAAUGACGGUACCCGAGGAGGAAGCACCGGGCUAACUACGUAGCCAGCAGCCGCGG